CGUAGGGGGCAAGCGUUGUCCGGAUUCAUUGGGCGUAAAGAGCGUGUAGGCGGCCAGGUAGGUCGGUUGUGAAAACUGGAGGCUCAACCUUCAGACGUCGACCGAAACCAUCUGGCUAGAGUCCGGGAGAGGAGAGUGGAAUUCCUGGUGUAGCGGUGAAAUGCGCAGAUAUCAGGAAGAACACCCGUGGCUAAGGCGGCUCUCUAGUACGGUACUGACGCUGAGACGCGAAAGCGUGGGGAGCGAACAGG
Molecule: ribosomal RNA, 251 nt
Filed under: uncultured bacterium
Lineage: Bacteria
Description: partial 16S ribosomal RNA
Rfam family: Bacterial small subunit ribosomal RNA
Source: RNAcentral